GUUGUAUGGUUAAGUGACUAAGCGUAUACGGUGGAUGCCUUGGCAGUUAGAGGCGAUGAAGGACGUGUAAGUCUGCGAAAAGCUGUGGUGAGCUGACAAAACGCAUUUGAGCCACAGAUGUCCGAAUGGGGAAACCCACACAUUUAUGUGUAUCAACAAGUGAAUACAUAGCUUGUUGAGGCGAACGAGGGGAACUGAAACAUCUAAGUACCCUUAGGAAAAGAAAUCAACCGAGAUUCCCCUAGUAGCGGCGAGCGAACGGGGAUUAGCCCUUAAGCAUUUUAAGAUUUAGUGGAAGCCUCUGGGAAGUGGCGCGAUACAGGGUGAUAGCCCCGUACACGAAGGGUCUUUUAAUGUGAAAUCGAGUAGGUCGGGACACGUGUUAUCUUGACUGAAUAUGGGGGGACCAUCCUCCAAGGCUAAAUACUCCUAACUGACCGAUAGUGAACCAGUACCGUGAGGGAAAGGCGAAAAGAACCCCUGUGAGGGGAGUGAAAUAGAACCUGAAACCGUAUACGUACAAGCAGUGGGAGCCCUUCGGGGUGACUGCGUACCUUUUGUAUAAUGGGUCAGCGACUUAUAUUUAGUAGCAAGGUUAAGCAAAUAGCGGAGCCGUAGCGAAAGCGAGUGUUAACUGCGCGUUUAGUUGCUAGGUAUAGACCCGAAACCC
Molecule: ribosomal RNA, 670 nt
Filed under: Alteromonas sp. KUL49
Lineage: Bacteria; Pseudomonadati; Pseudomonadota; Gammaproteobacteria; Alteromonadales; Alteromonadaceae
Description: partial 23S ribosomal RNA
Rfam family: Bacterial large subunit ribosomal RNA
Source: RNAcentral